AAUUCGAUUAGUUUGAUCAUGGCUCAGAUUGAACGCUGGCGGCAUGCCUUACACAUGCAAGUCGAACGGCAGCGCGGGGCAACCUGGCGGCGAGUGGCGAACGGGUGAGUAAUAUAUCGGAACGUACCCUGGAGUGGGGGAUAACGUAGCGAAAGUUACGCUAAUACCGCAUACGAUCUAAGGAUGAAAGCAGGGGACCGCAAGGCCUUGUGCUCCUGGAGCGGCCGAUAUCUGAUUAGCUAGUUGGUGGGGUAAAGGCCUACCAAGGCAUCGAUCAGUAGCUGGUCUGAGAGGACGACCAGCCACACUGGAACUGAGACACGGUCCAGACUCCUACGGGAGGCAGCAGUGGGGAAUUUUGGACAAUGGGCGCAAGCCUGAUCCAGCAAUGCCGCGUGAGUGAAGAAGGCCCUCGGGUUGUAAAGCUCUUUUGUCAGGGAAGAAACGGUGGAGGCUAAUAUCCUUUGCUAAUGACGGUACCUGAAGAAUAAGCACCGGCUAACUACGUGCCAGCAGCCGCGGUAAUACGUAGGGUGCAAGCGUUAAUCGGAAUUACUGGGCGUAAAGCGUGCGCAGGCGGUUUUGUAGUCUGUCGUGAAAUCCCCGGGCUCAACCUGGGAAUUGCGAUGGAGACUGCAAGGCUAGAAUCUGGCAGAGGAGGGUAGAAUUCCACGUGUAGCAGUGAAAUGCGUAGAGAUGUGGAGGAACACCGAUGGCGAAGGCAGCCCCC
RNAcentral lists this ribosomal RNA (730 nucleotides) under uncultured bacterium. Its description in RNAcentral is "bacterial SSU rRNA". It matches the Rfam family "Bacterial small subunit ribosomal RNA", at positions 1 to 729 of the family's 1533-position model. The record is from RNAcentral.